Mauremys mutica (yellowpond turtle) is the source of this 369-nucleotide long non-coding RNA. RefSeq lists it as uncharacterized. NCBI's taxonomy places the organism in Eukaryota, Metazoa, Chordata, Testudines, Geoemydidae. The record is from RefSeq and is a predicted model, not a curated record. The transcript is spliced from 3 exons.
GGUGAUCAUGUGCUACCUAGGAAGCGAGUAAUAGGGAAACUGCUGACAGGUUAAAGAGGAGAUAGGAGUUGUAGAGAAGAGACUCCAAGAAAGAACAAAUAUUCUAUGAUUUAGGCCUGGUCUAGACCUAAAACUUAGGUUGACCUAGCUAUAUCGCUCAAGGGUGUGAAGAAUUCUGCCAAUGUAGCUACCACCUCUUUACUACAGUGAUGAGAAAAACUUCUUCCAUUGCUAUGCUACCACUUGUCAAUCUUCCCCUGAAUACCUGGACACAGGACAUGGUGCAACAAGCUGAAGUCAAUCCAUUCUGCGUCUAGAACCGUUCAGUGUCCUUGCACCCAGUCACAUUAUUCUUGUCAUCUUUUAGCC